GGGAAUAUUGCACAAUGGGCGCAAGCCUGAUGCAGCGACGCCGCGUGAGGGAUGACGGCCUUCGGGUUGUAAACCUCUUUCAGUAGGGAAGAAGCGAAAGUGACGGUACCUGCAGAAGAAGCGCCGGCUAACUACGUGCCAGCAGCCGCGGUAAUACGUAGGGCGCAAGCGUUAUCCGGAAUUAUUGGGCGUAAAGAGCUCGUAGGCGGUUUGUCGCGUCUGCCGUGAAAGUCCGGGGCUCAACUCCGGAUCUGCGGUGGGUACGGGCAGACUAGAGUGAUGUAGGGGAGACUGGAAUUCCUGGUGUAGCGGUGAAAUGCGCAGAUAUCAGGAGGAACACCGAUGGCGAAGGCAGGUCUCUGGGCAUUAACUGACGCUGAGGAGCGAAAGCAUGGGGAGCGAAC
This 404-nucleotide ribosomal RNA is filed under the name Arthrobacter sp. RNAcentral's name for it is "bacterial SSU rRNA". It matches the Rfam family "Bacterial small subunit ribosomal RNA", at positions 357 to 773 of the family's 1533-position model. The record is from RNAcentral. Lineage: Bacteria; Bacillati; Actinomycetota; Actinomycetes; Micrococcales; Micrococcaceae.